UGUCCGGAUUAUUGGGCGUAAAGGGCUUGUAGGCGGUUGGUCGCGUCUGCCGUGAAAUCCUCUGGCUUAACUGGGGGCGUGCGGUGGGUACGGGCUGACUUGAGUGCGGUAGGGGAGACUGGAACUCCUGGUGUAGCGGUGGAAUGCGCAGAUAUCAGGAAGAACACCGGUGGCGAAGGCGGGUCUCUGGGCCGUUACUGACGCUGAGGAGCGAAAGCGUGGGGAGCGAACAGGAUUAGAUACCCUGGUAGUCCACGCUGUAAACGUUGGGCACUAGGUGUGGGGGCCACCCGUGGUUUCCGCGCCGUAGCUAACGCUUUAAGUGCCCCGCCUGGGGAGUACGGCCGCAAGGCUAAAACUCAAAGGAAUUGACGGGGGCCCGCACAAGCGGCGGAGCAUGCGGAUUAAUUCGAUGCAACGCGAAGAACCUUACCAAGGCUUGACAUGCACGGCGGCACUGCAGAGAUGUGGUGGCAUUUAGUUGGUCGUGUGCAGGUGGUGCAUGGUUGUCGUCAGCUCGUGUCGUGA
RNAcentral lists this ribosomal RNA (528 nucleotides) under uncultured bacterium. RNAcentral describes it as "bacterial SSU rRNA". It matches the Rfam family "Bacterial small subunit ribosomal RNA", at positions 542 to 1070 of the family's 1533-position model. The record is from RNAcentral.